AUGUGGCGGUGCCCGAAAGGGAACCUGGACACAGGUGCUGCAUGGCUGUCGUCAGCUCGUGUCGUGAGAUGUUGGGUUAAGUCCCGCAACGAGCGCAACCCUUGCCAUUAGUUGCUACAUUCAGUUGAGCACUCUAAUGGGACUGCCGGUGACAAACCGGAGGAAGGUGGGGAUGACGUCAAGUCCUCAUGGCCCUUAUGGGUAGGGCUACACACGUCAUACAAUGGCGGAUACAGAGGGUUGCCAACCCGCGAGGGGGAGCCAAUCCCAGAAAGUCCGUCGUAGUCCGGAUUGGAGUCUGCAACUCGACUGCAUGAAGUCGGAAUCGCUAGUAAUCGCGGAUCAGCAUGUCGCGGUGAAUACGUUCCCGGGUCUUGUACACACCGCCCGUCACACCAUGGGAGUGGGUUCUACCAGAAGUAGGUAGGCUAACCGCAAGGAGGCCGCUUACCACGGUAGGAUUCAUGACUGGGGUGAAGUCGUAACAAGGUAACCGUAA
RNAcentral lists this ribosomal RNA (499 nucleotides) under uncultured beta proteobacterium. Its description in RNAcentral is "bacterial SSU rRNA". It matches the Rfam family "Bacterial small subunit ribosomal RNA", at positions 1006 to 1505 of the family's 1533-position model. The record is from RNAcentral. Lineage: Bacteria; Pseudomonadati; Pseudomonadota; Betaproteobacteria.